AUUGAACGCUGGCGGAAUGCUUUACACAUGCAAGUCGAACGGCAGCACGGGGGCAACCCUGGUGGCGAGUGGCGAACGGGUGAGUAAUACAUCGGAACGUGCCCGGUCGUGGGGGAUAACGUAGCGAAAGUUACGCUAAUACCGCAUACGAUCUGAGGAUGAAAGCGGGGGACCUUCGGACCUCGCGCGAUCGGAGCGGCCGAUGUCAGAUUAGGUAGUUGGUGGGGUAAAGGCCUACCAAGCCGACGAUCUGUAGCUGGUCUGAGAGGACGACCAGCCACACUGGGACUGAGACACGGCCCAGACUCCUACGGGAGGCAGCAGUGGGGAAUUUUGGACAAUGGGCGCAAGCCUGAUCCAGCCAUUCCGCGUGCAGGACGAAGGCCUUCGGGUUGUAAACUGCUUUUGUAUGGAACGAAAAGGCUCUGGCUAAUACCUGGGGCUCAUGACGGUACCGUAAGAAUAAGCACCGGCUAACUACGUG
Molecule: ribosomal RNA, 484 nt
Filed under: uncultured bacterium
Lineage: Bacteria
Description: partial 16S ribosomal RNA
Rfam family: Bacterial small subunit ribosomal RNA
Source: RNAcentral